RNAcentral lists this ribosomal RNA (74 nucleotides) under Duthiea brachypodium. RNAcentral describes it as "5.8S_ribosomal_RNA". It matches the Rfam family "5.8S ribosomal RNA", at positions 84 to 154 of the family's 154-position model. Rfam says of the family: 5.8S ribosomal RNA (5.8S rRNA) is a component of the large subunit of the eukaryotic ribosome. The record is from RNAcentral. Lineage: Eukaryota; Viridiplantae; Streptophyta; Magnoliopsida; Poales; Poaceae.
GCGAACCAUCGAGUCUUUGAACGCAAGUUGCGCCCGAGGCCACCUGGCCGAGGGCACGCCUGCCUGGGCGUCAC